UGGUAGGCUAGUUAUUACUGCCUCAAUUUCAGAACACAUUAUUGGUCUAUUCAGGGCUUCAGUUUCUUCCUGGUUCAGUCUUGGGAGGGUGUAUUUGUCUAGGAAAUUUUUUUUUUCUAGUUUAUGUUAAUAGAGGUGUUUAUUGUAUUCUCUGAUGGUCAUUUGUAUUUCUGUGGAGUCAGUAGUGAUAUCCCCCUUAUCAUUUCUGAUUGUGUUAUUUGAUUCUUCUCUCUCUUCUUCUUUGUUAGUCUAGCUAGUGGUCUAUUUGAUUCAUGUUUUCAAAAAACCAGCUCCUGGAUUCAUUGAUUUUUCGAAGGGUUUUCCAUGUCUCUAUUUCCUUCAGCUUGACUCUGAUUUUGGUUAUUUUUUGUCUUCUGCUAGCUUUGGGGUUUGUUUGCUCUUUUUUCUCUAGUUCCUUUUGUUGAGGUGUUAGGUUGUUAAGUUGAGAUCUUUCUAGCUUUUUCUUGUGGGCAUUUAGUGAUAUAGAUUUCCCUCUUUACAGUACUUUAGCUGC
This 514-nucleotide long non-coding RNA is filed under the name Homo sapiens (human). RNAcentral describes it as "HSALNT0376571". The record is from RNAcentral. Lineage: Eukaryota; Metazoa; Chordata; Mammalia; Primates; Hominidae.